Molecule: RNA transcript, 1180 nt
Organism: Carlito syrichta (Philippine tarsier)
Lineage: Eukaryota; Metazoa; Chordata; Mammalia; Primates; Tarsiidae
Gene name: S-adenosylmethionine synthase pseudogene
Exons: 1
Source: RefSeq, a predicted model, not a curated record
AUGAACCGGCAGCUCAAUGGCUUCCACAAGGCGUUCAUCAAGGAGAGCACCUUCCUUUUCACCUCCUAGUCUGUGGGGGAAGGCCACCCAGAUAAGAUCUGUGACCAGAUCAGUGAUAAUGUCCUUGAUGCCCACCUUCAGCAGGAUCCUGACGCCAAAGUGGCUUGUGAAACUGUUGCUAAAACCGGAAUGAUCCUUCUUGCUGGGGAAAUUACAUCCAGAGCUGCUGUUGACUACCAGAAAGAGGUUCGUGAAGCCAUUGAACACAUUGGAUAUGAUGAUUCAUCCAAAGGGUUUGACAACAAGAUUUGUAAUGUGUUGGUGGACCUGGAGCAGCAGUCACCAGAUAUUGCCCAAGGUGUUCAUCUUGACAGGAAUGACAAAGACAUUGGUGCUGGAGACCAGGGCUUGAUGUUUGGCUACCACUGAUGAAACAGAGGAGUGUAUGCCUUUAACCACUGUCUUGGCAUACAAGCUCAAUGACAAACUGGCAGAACUACGCUGCAAUGGUACUUUGCCUUGGUUACGCCCUGAUUAGAAAAUUCAAGUGACUGUGAGUAUAUGCAGGAUCAAGGUGCUGUGCUUCCUAUUAGAGUCCACACAAUUGUUAUAUCUGUUCAGCAUGAUGAAGAAGUUUGUCUCGAUGAGAUGAGGGAUGCCCUAAAGGAAAAGGUCAUCAAAGCUGUGGUGGCUGCAAAAUAUCUCGAUGAGGACACAAUCUACCAUCUGCAGCCAAGUGGCAGAUUUGUUAUUGGUGGGCCUCAGGGUGAUACUGGUUUGACUGACUGGAAAAUCACUGUGGACACUUAUGGUGGUUGGGGAGCUCAUGGAGGAGGUGCCUUUUCAGGAAAGGAUAAUACCAAGGUAGACAGCUGCUUAUGCUGCUCGUUGGGUGGCAAAAUCCCUUGUUAAAGGAGGUCUGUGCAGGAGGGUUCUUGUUCAGGUCUUUUAUGCUAUUGGAGUUUCUCAUCCAUCGUCUAUCACCAUUUUCCAGUAUGGUACCUCUCAGAAGAGGGAGAGAGAACUAUUAGAGAUUGUGAAGAAGAAUUUUGAUCUCCACCCUGGGGUCACUGUCAGGGAUCUGGAUCUGAAGAAGCCAAUUUAUCAGAGGACUACAGCCUAUGGCCACUUUGGUAGGGACAGCUUCCCAUGGGAAGUGCCCCAAAAGCUUAAAUAUUGA